AUUGAACGCUGGCGGCAUGCCUUACACAUGCAAGUCGAACGGUAACAGGUCUUCGGACGCUGACGAGUGGCGAACGGGUGAGUAAUACAUCGGAACGUGCCCAGUCGUGGGGGAUAACUACUCGAAAGAGUAGCUAAUACCGCAUACGAUCUGAGGAUGAAAGCGGGGGACCUUCGGGCCUCGCGCGAUUGGAGCGGCCGAUGGCAGAUUAGGUAGUUGGUGGGAUAAAAGCUUACCAAGCCGACGAUCUGUAGCUGGUCUGAGAGGACGACCAGCCACACUGGGACUGAGACACGGCCCAGACUCCUACGGGAGGCAGCAGUGGGGAAUUUUGGACAAUGGGCGAAAGCCUGAUCCAGCAAUGCCGCGUGCAGGAUGAAGGCCUUCUGGGUUGUAAACUGCUUUUAUCUAGGAAGAAAACGCCCAUGCGUGGGAAACUGACGGUACUAGAUGAAUAAGCACCGGCUAACUCCGUGC
RNAcentral lists this ribosomal RNA (477 nucleotides) under uncultured bacterium. RNAcentral's name for it is "bacterial SSU rRNA". It matches the Rfam family "Bacterial small subunit ribosomal RNA", at positions 30 to 508 of the family's 1533-position model. The record is from RNAcentral.